Molecule: ribosomal RNA, 468 nt
Filed under: uncultured bacterium
Lineage: Bacteria
Description: partial 16S ribosomal RNA
Rfam family: Bacterial small subunit ribosomal RNA
Source: RNAcentral
GACGAACGCUGGCGGCGUGCUUAACACAUGCAAGUCGAACGGAAAGGCCCUGCUUUUGUGGGGUGCUCGAGUGGCGAACGGGUGAGUAACACGUGAGUAACCUGCCCUUUACUUUGGGAUAACUUCAGGAAACUGGGGCUAAUACCGGAUAGGAGCUCCUGCUGCAUGUUGUGGGUUGGAAAGUUUCGGCGGUUGGGGAUGGACUCGCGGCUUAUCAGCUUGUUGGUGGGGUAGUGGCUUACCAAGGCUUGGACGGGUAGCCGGCCUGAGAGGGUGACCGGCCACAUUGGGACUGAGAUACGGCCCAGACUCCUACGGGAGGCAGCAGGGGGGAAUAUUGAACAAUGGGCGGAAGCCUGAUGCAGCAACGCCGCGUGCGGGAUGACGGCCUUCGGGUUGUAAACCGCUUUCGCCUGUGACGAAGCGUGAGUGAAGGUAAUGGGUAAAGAAGCACCGGCUAACUACGUG